This 377-nucleotide ribosomal RNA is filed under the name uncultured bacterium. RNAcentral's name for it is "bacterial SSU rRNA". It matches the Rfam family "Bacterial small subunit ribosomal RNA", at positions 524 to 898 of the family's 1533-position model. The record is from RNAcentral.
UACGUAGGGGCCAAGCGUUGUCCGGAUUUAUUGGGCGUAAAGAGCUCGUAGGCGGAUUGGUAAGUCAGCUGUGAAAUCUCCACGCUUAACGUGGAGGGGUCAGUUGAUACUGCCUCUCUAGAGUCCGGUAGGGGAGUGUGGAAUUCCCGGUGUAGCGGUGAAAUGCGCAGAUAUCGGGAGGAACACCAGUAGCGAAGGCGGCACUCUGGGCCGGUACUGACGCUGAGGAGCGAAAGCGUGGGGAGCAAACAGGAUUAGAUACCCUGGUAGUCCACGCCGUAAACGUUGGGCACUAGGUGUGGGACCCUAUCGACGGGUUCCGUGCCGUAGCUAACGCAUUAAGUGCCCCGCCUGGGGAGUACGGCCGCAAGGCUAAA